Molecule: ribosomal RNA, 253 nt
Filed under: uncultured bacterium
Lineage: Bacteria
Description: partial 16S ribosomal RNA
Rfam family: Bacterial small subunit ribosomal RNA
Source: RNAcentral
GACGUAGGGCGCGAGCGUGUCCGGAUUUGAUUGGGCGUAAAGAGCUCGUAGGCGGCUUGUCGCGUCGUGUGUGAAAUCUCAGGGCUCAACUCUGACAUUGCAUACGAUACGGGCAGGCUUGAGUUCGGUAGGGGAGACUGGAAUUCCUGGUGUAGCGGUGAAAUGCGCAGAUAUCAGGAGGAACACCGGUGGCGAAGGCAGGUCUCUGGGCAUUAACUGACGCUGAGGAGCGAAAGCAUGGGGAGCGAACAGG